Molecule: non-coding RNA, 179 nt
Organism: Blautia sp. CAG:237
Lineage: Bacteria; Bacillati; Bacillota; Clostridia; Lachnospirales; Lachnospiraceae
Source: Rfam
GAAUUCCUGGAAUGUGCGAUGCCCCUUUUUUUAUUUGAACCUACAUUUAUUAAUAGGGAAUCCAACAUCGCUGCUGUGAUGUCAGGCCUCUCGUCGUGGAAGGCAGAUCAUCAGUUGAGGACACCCAACCUGGCGAAAGCUAGGCGUCAAAUGGAAGGGAACGGCAUUCCGGGGGAAUU